CGGCCGCGGGGCUGCAGCUCCCGGCUCGCACUCCAUCAUCGACGGAUGACAGCGGGAACGGUGGGAGUUCAUUACAGGGACCAUGAAUUGUUGGAGAGGAAUCUGAAGAAACGUGCUGGAUGUCCCCAGAGAAGGAGCUGAACCAUUUGAGUGGGGGCUUCACUGACUCUCCCCACACACAGGGCACCGGGGGAGAGCAGUCACAUGACCGGCAGGCGGGGGUUUUGACCCUGGUGGGAGGGGAUGAGGAGGGCACCAGUCCGGCCCUGAGACAACCCCCAAGACCAGCCCUGACUGGGACACUCUGCAGGAUGUCAAGCAGUGCCCCCAAAAGCUGUCAAGGCCGUCCUAGACCAGCGGGGCCUCAGGAGAUGGUGCAGAGUCCUGGACCAGACAAACGGCACUGGGAAAGCAGGAGCCCAAAGGAAGGCUGGAAUUCAGGGAAGAGCCACGUGCCAGGCUGUGACGAAGGCGACAAGAUGAAACAGUAGGGGGGCGGGGGAGGCAUCCAAACUCUAUGUGCUGUCUUUGCACUACUCUGUAAAUCUAACAUUAUUCGGAAGUGAAAGUUAAAAAUCA
This 579-nucleotide long non-coding RNA is filed under the name Homo sapiens (human). Its description in RNAcentral is "novel transcript (ENSG00000288224.1)". The record is from RNAcentral. Lineage: Eukaryota; Metazoa; Chordata; Mammalia; Primates; Hominidae.